GAUGAACGCUGGCGGCGUGCCUAAUACAUGCAAGUCGAGCGAACAGACGAGGAGCUUGCUCCUUCGACGUUAGCGGCGGACGGGUGAGUAACACGUAGGUAACCUACCUAUAAGACUGGGAUAACUUCGGGAAACCGGAGCUAAUACCGGAUAAUAUUUCGAACCGCAUGGUUCGAUAGUGAAAGAUGGCUUUGCUAUCACUUAUAGAUGGACCUGCGCCGUAUUAGCUAGUUGGUAAGGUAACGGCUUACCAAGGCAACGAUACGUAGCCGACCUGAGAGGGGGAUCGCCCACACGGGAAUGGAGACCCGGCCCAGACUCCAAGGGGGGGCAGCAGUAGGGAAUUUUCCGAAAGGGGCGAAAGCCUAACGGAGAAACGCCGGGUGGGUGAAGAAGGCCUUCGGAUCGUAAAACUCUUUUUUGAGGGAAAAAAAAACGUGUAAGAAACGGGGCCCGUUUGGAGGGUACCAAAUAAGAAAACCACGGCUAACUACGU
RNAcentral lists this ribosomal RNA (496 nucleotides) under uncultured bacterium. Its description in RNAcentral is "partial 16S ribosomal RNA". It matches the Rfam family "Bacterial small subunit ribosomal RNA", at positions 28 to 506 of the family's 1533-position model. The record is from RNAcentral.